RNAcentral lists this ribosomal RNA (279 nucleotides) under uncultured bacterium. RNAcentral describes it as "partial 16S ribosomal RNA". It matches the Rfam family "Bacterial small subunit ribosomal RNA", at positions 506 to 784 of the family's 1533-position model. The record is from RNAcentral.
UGCCAGCCGCCGCGGUAAUACGGAGGGUGCAAGCGUUAAUCGGAAUUACUGGGCGUAAAGGGCGCGUAGGCGGUUUGGUUAGUUGGAUGUGAAAGCCCCGGGCUUAACUCGGGAAUUGCAUUCAAUACUGCCAGGCUAGAGUGCAGUAGAGGGAAGCGGAAUUCCGGGUGUAGCGGUGAAAUGCGUAGAUAUCCGGAGGAACACCAGUGGCGAAGGCGGCUUCCUGGACUGACACUGACGCUGAGGCGCGAAAGCGUGGGGAGCAAACAGGAUUAGAUA